CUACGGGUCGCUGCAGUCGAGGAAAUUUUACAAUGCUCGUAAGAGUGAUAGAAUAAGCCAGAGUGUUUCUCUUAGAGAAACUUUUGUCUACUGUAAAAAUGUAGAUGAAUAAGGACUGGGAAAGACCGGUGCCAGCCGCCGCGGUAAUACCGGCGGUCCGAGUCGCAUCCACAUUUAUUGGGUCUAAAACAUUCGUAGCUUGUUUUGUAAGUCUCUUGUGAAAUUCUAUAUCUCAAGUAUAGAUCGUGCAAGAGAUACUACAUAACUAGAGACCGGAAGACGUAAGGAGUAUGAUUGAGGUAGCGGUAAAAUGCAUUAAUCUUAAUCAGACUAACAAUAGCGAAGGCACCUUACGAGUACGGAUCUGACAGUGAGGGAUGAAGGCCAGGGUCGCGAAAGGGAUUAGAUACCCUGGUAGUC
This 420-nucleotide ribosomal RNA is filed under the name uncultured archaeon. Its description in RNAcentral is "partial 16S ribosomal RNA". It matches the Rfam family "Archaeal small subunit ribosomal RNA", at positions 323 to 746 of the family's 1478-position model. The record is from RNAcentral.